RNAcentral lists this ribosomal RNA (575 nucleotides) under Aureobasidium pullulans. RNAcentral's name for it is "eukaryotic LSU rRNA". The stretch from base 225 to 378 matches the Rfam family "5.8S ribosomal RNA". Lineage: Eukaryota; Fungi; Ascomycota; Dothideomycetes; Dothideales; Saccotheciaceae. The record is from RNAcentral.
GUCGUAACAAGGUUUCCGUAGGUGAACCUGCGGAAGGAUCAUUAAAGAGUAAGGGUGCUCAGCGCCCGACCUCCAACCCUUUGUUGUUAAAACUACCUUGUUGCUUUGGCGGGACCGCUCGGUCUCGAGCCGCUGGGGAUUCGUCCCAGGCGAGCGCCCGCCAGAGUUAAACCAAACUCUUGUUAUUUAACCGGUCGUCUGAGUUAAAAUUUUGAAUAAAUCAAAACUUUCAACAACGGAUCUCUUGGUUCUCGCAUCGAUGAAGAACGCAGCGAAAUGCGAUAAGUAAUGUGAAUUGCAGAAUUCAGUGAAUCAUCGAAUCUUUGAACGCACAUUGCGCCCCUUGGUAUUCCGAGGGGCAUGCCUGUUCGAGCGUCAUUACACCACUCAAGCUAUGCUUGGUAUUGGGCGUCGUCCUUAGUUGGGCGCGCCUUAAAGACCUCGGCGAGGCCACUCCGGCUUUAGGCGUAGUAGAAUUUAUUCGAACGUCUGUCAAAGGAGAGGAACUCUGCCGACUGAAACCUUUAUUUUUCUAGGUUGACCUCGGAUCAGGUAGGGAUACCCGCUGAACUUAA